GCAUCUAAUACCAGUUGAGGUUCCAAGAUGCGAUGGCACCUUGACUAGUCAACGAUGCGACAGUACUGCAGGGGAGUGUAAACCGCCGUGGGCUCCUCCACCCGUGAGCCGGCGGUCCAUCACCCCCUUGCAACAUGC
This 138-nucleotide small nucleolar RNA is filed under the name Chlamydomonas reinhardtii. Its description in RNAcentral is "CrACA02 snoRNA". The record is from RNAcentral. Lineage: Eukaryota; Viridiplantae; Chlorophyta; Chlorophyceae; Chlamydomonadales; Chlamydomonadaceae.